AUACGUAGGGGGCAAGCGUUGUUCGGAAUCACUGGGCGUAAAGGGCGUGUAGGCGGCCCGCUAAGUCUGAUGUGAAAGCCCGGGGCUCACCCCCGGAAGUGCAUUGGAAACUGGCGGACUCGAGUCCCGGAGAGGAGGGUGGAAUUCCUGGUGUAGCGGUGAAAUGCGUAGAUAUCAGGAGGAACACCGGUGGCGAAGGCGGCCCUCUGGACGGUACUGACGCUGAGGCGCGAAAGCGUGGGGAGCGAACA
This 251-nucleotide ribosomal RNA is filed under the name uncultured prokaryote. Its description in RNAcentral is "partial 16S ribosomal RNA". It matches the Rfam family "Bacterial small subunit ribosomal RNA", at positions 523 to 774 of the family's 1533-position model. The record is from RNAcentral.